Molecule: ribosomal RNA, 1341 nt
Filed under: uncultured bacterium
Lineage: Bacteria
Description: 16S ribosomal RNA
Rfam family: Bacterial small subunit ribosomal RNA
Source: RNAcentral
GACGAACGCUGGCGGCGUGCUUAACACAUGCAAGUCGAACGGUAAGGCUCCAGCUUGCUGGGGUACACGAGUGGCGAACGGGUGAGUAACACGUGGGUGACCUGCCCUGCACUUCGGGAUAAGCCUGGGAAACUGGGUCUAAUACCGGAUAGGACCGCACCGUGAGGGUGUGGUGGAAAGUUUUUUCGGUGUGGGAUGGGCCCGCGGCCUAUCAGCUUGUUGGUGGGGUAAUGGCCUACCAAGGCGGCGACGGGUAGCCGGCCUGAGAGGGUGGACGGCCACAUUGGGACUGAGACACGGCCCAGACUCCUACGGGAGGCAGCAGUGGGGAAUAUUGCACAAUGGGCGGAAGCCUGAUGCAGCGACGCCGCGUGGGGGAUGACGGCCUUCGGGUUGUAAACUCCUUUCACCAUCGACGAAGGGUUUCUGACGGUAGAUGGAGAAGAAGCACCGGCUAACUACGUGCCAGCAGCCGCGGUAAUACGUAGGGUGCGAGCGUUGUCCGGAAUUACUGGGCGUAAAGAGCUCGUAGGUGGUUUGUCGCGUCGUCUGUGAAAUUCCGGGGCUUAACUCCGGGCGUGCAGGCGAUACGGGCAUAACUUGAGUACUGUAGGGGAGACUGGAAUUCCUGGUGUAGCGGUGAAAUGCGCAGAUAUCAGGAGGAACACCGGUGGCGAAGGCGGGUCUCUGGGCAGUAACUGACGCUGAGGAGCGAAAGCAUGGGGAGCGAACAGGAUUAGAUACCCUGGUAGUCCAUGCCGUAAACGGUGGGCGCUAGGUGUGGGUUUCCUUCCACGGGAUCCGUGCCGUAGCUAACGCAUUAAGCGCCCCGCCUGGGGAGUACGGCCGCAAGGCUAAAACUCAAAGGAAUUGACGGGGGCCCGCACAAGCGGCGGGGCAUGUGGAUUAAUUCGAUGCAACGCGAAGAACCUUACCUGGGCUUGACAUAUACAGGAUCGCGCCAGAGAUGGUGUUUCCCUUGUGGCUUGUAUACAGGUGGUGCAUGGUUGUCGUCAGCUCGUGUCGUGAGAUGUUGGGUUAAGUCCCGCAACGAGCGCAACCCUUGUCUUAUGUUGCCAGCACGUUGUGGUGGGGACUCGUAAGAAACUGCCGGGGUUAACUCGGAGGAAGGUGGGGAUGACGUCAAAUCAUCAUGCCCCUUAUGUCCAGGGCUUCACACAUGUUACAAUGGUCGGUACAGUGGGUUGCCAGUCCGUGAGGGCGAGCUAAUCCCGCAAAGCCGGUCUCAGUUCGGAUCGGGGUCUGCAACUCGACCCCGUGAAGUCGGAGUCGCUAGUAAUCGCAGAUCAGCAACGCUGCGGUGAAUACGUUCCCGGGCCU